GACUUGAUAAAAACCAAAAUUGUGGACACAACCGUAUUUGCCGCGACUUUUCUUCCGCACCGUAUCUGGUCCCGCGCUAUUGGUCGCGCGUGUUUCUUCUUCGCGGCAUUUUCUCGUCGCGCCGCCAGUUCGCGAGCUUCCAGGUCGCCGCUGUUUCCUGUUACCUGUAUCUGAGACGCUGCAGGUCGUCAUCGAGGGCUUCCUGCCAUAGAGACCUUCCUAUCAUAGAGUCCUUCGUCCUGCUGCCGUGGACUGCAAGUCGUCAUCGAUCUCCAAGAUUUGUCACCACGCGCGAAGAGUCCCCCACGCGCGGGAGUAGCGCGGGAGGAGCGCACGAUUGGCGUUUGCCAAUCGGCCCGCGGCCUUGCAUUUAUGCCAAGUUUCCUCCCCCAAUUGCCAAGUUGCCCAAAUUGCAAAACACAAAUGCAAAACUGUUGGAUACCUCAUUUCCAUAAUUUUGGUAAAUUACAGGAAUACAAACCCCAAAUGCAAAACUGUUGGAGAUGCUCAGAGAUGAGUUUUUCUCUUUUCCCCCAAAAAAUAUGCAUGGGAAAGGCAUAUGGGGUAAUCUUGGAGAUGCUGACAACCGGUGCAGGCAAAAGCAUCAAUAGAUGAGAAUGACACAAGUACCCCUCUAGCAUUGCACGUACACACAACAUUGCUUACUAGAGAAAGGUUGAGUGUAAUAUGGAUAGAGUUGUGGACCAGAGCCAUCCUUAAAAGCUAACCUAUAAUAUAAUGAAGCUAAUGAGACUUCGCCUAAAGUACAAAUCUGUGAUAGAAGUUUUAUAUGGUGUUGUUUAUGCUCAAUUUAGUAUGUGGAAGCUUUCUCCACAGUUUAGGCACUAUAAAUAAAGGAAAGAUGCAACCAAGUUUCUUCUUCUAGUUUUGCAUGUGAUAAGAUAACCAUAGUGCUGCUAAUAGGCAUAGCCUAAGUUACUAGCUUUAAGAAACAAUGCUUUAUAAGUGGGAAGAUUAUGAAGAAAUAUUUUUCUGACGUUGAUAAAAUUCAAUCAUUAGAAAGAAGCAAUAGCUAAAUGCCAAAUUUAUGGGGAGCCUUACAUCGCCCUACAAUAUAGAGCCAGAACAAGCAACAAUACUAUGAGGAACUGUUUUCAGAAGAGAUGUAAAAAAAAUCCAAAUUAAUAAAAAUUUAAAAAAUAAAAUCAUGUAUCAAUGAAUAAAAAUAAAGACUUUUUGACAUUUUGUGGUAAGUACAAACCCAAUUAUCAAAUGGACAAGCUUAUAAAUGUUAGUUGAGCUAUAAAGUAAGCUAAAUUAAGGUUUCAUAUUUUAGUCUCAAGAUUCUAAUCUAAAUGCUCAAGUUUUCCAUGAGCCAAUGGAUACUAGCAACUAAAGAGUUUCGUAUUAGCAGUGAUAAUUCAAUACUAGCAAGUCAACAGUAGUACAUUUUCACCAAACAAAACAACAUUACUUGGUGAAACUGUAAAUUGACUAGAAAUCUGAGGUCACCUGAGAAGUUACUACAACAUGGACAACAAAAUCAUACUUUUAGAAAGCACUACAUUUUCGGUGCAACAAUUCUAAAUAUCAAUCUAAGUUGGGUCUCUAGCCUAGUGGUUAGAGCAUAGCAUCCAGUAGACUUAGAUUCGACUCCCAUGGGAGCAAAUAAAAUAGGUCUAGAAUAAAAAAAAUACAAAAAAUAGGUUGGGGAUUCCCCCUACAUGUCAAAAAGUAUCGAUCUAAGUUGUCUAAUUCUCCACAAGGGGUGACAUUUUGUAGUUAAGUUAACAGUAAUUUCCUACAGUUAGGCAUCAAAGAAAGAAAACAAAUAAGCUAGCGUGUCAAUCCCAAAUAUUCUCAUCAAAGGAACAAAUCAAACAAAACCUAGUGCCCCUAAUCCCAAAUGUUCACAUAGAAGAGGAAAAUUAUAAAUAAUUCCUUUUAGCAGCAAGAAUUCUCAUGCCCAAAGGAAAUGAUGGUGUUGAUAAUCCACCGGAGCUGACCCAUCACAACGAGGUACGUCAGGACGACAACAAAGGUGAGGUUCCCUACAACCUAGCUGUUGCCGAUAUCCACACGCCUCCUGCUGCCACCAAAGAAGGGGCCUCUCCUAGCUCUAGUCAUGCCAAGUCAUCAUCCUUGUGUUCCCGUCGUUCUCCAAGCCAAGCCCCCUCUUUUACCCAGUAACUUGCUCUGGUCCAAUGACCUCACUGUGGAGCAGACCACUUUUGAGAAUUUUGGAGCC
This 2209-nucleotide long non-coding RNA is filed under the name Sorghum bicolor (sorghum). Its description in RNAcentral is "long non-coding RNA (SBIC_LNC016940)". The record is from RNAcentral. Lineage: Eukaryota; Viridiplantae; Streptophyta; Magnoliopsida; Poales; Poaceae.